RNAcentral lists this ribosomal RNA (399 nucleotides) under uncultured bacterium. Its description in RNAcentral is "bacterial SSU rRNA". It matches the Rfam family "Bacterial small subunit ribosomal RNA", at positions 355 to 746 of the family's 1533-position model. The record is from RNAcentral.
UGGGGAAUUUUGGACAAUGGGCGAAAGCCUGAUCCAGCAAUGCCGCGUGAGUGAAGAAGGCCUUCGGGUUGUAAAGCUCUUUUGUCAGGGAAGAAACGGUGAAAGCUAAUAUCUUUUGCUAAUGACGGUACCUGAAGAAUAAGCACCGGCUAACUACGUGCCAGCAGCCGCGGUAAUACGUAGGGUGCAAGCGUUAAUCGGAAUUACUGGGCGUAAAGCGUGCGCAGGCGGUUUUGUAAGUCUGAUGUGAAAUCCCCGGGCACAACCUGGGAAUUGCAUUGGAGACUGCAAGGCUAGAAUCUGGCAGAGGGGGGUAGAAUUCCGACGUGUAGCAGUGAAAUGCGUAGAUAUGUGAGGAACACCGAUGGCGAAGGCAGCCCCCUGGGUCAAGAUUGACGC